GACGAACGCUGGCGGCGUGCUUAACACAUGCAAGUCGAGCGAUGAAGCUCCUUCGGGAGUGGAUUAGCGGCGGACGGGUGAGUAACACGUGGGUAACCUGCCUCAUAGAGGGGAAUAGCCUUUCGAAAGGAAGAUUAAUACCGCAUAAGAUUGUAGCUUCGCAUGAAGCAGCAAUUAAAGGAGUAAUCCGCUAUGAGAUGGACCCGCGUCGCAUUAGCUAGUUGGUGAGGUAACGGCUCACCAAGGCGACGAUGCGUAGCCGACCUGAGAGGGGAAUCGGCCGAGUUGGAACGCAUGCACGGCACAGAUGCAUGCGGGAGGGAGACGUGGGGAUUAUUGCACAAUGGGGGAAACACUGAUGCAGCAACGCCGCGUGAGUGAUGACGGUCUUCGGGUUGUAAAGCUCUGUCUUCAGGGACUAUAAUGACGGUACCUGAGGAGGAAGCCACGGGUAACUACGUGCCAGCAGCCGCCGUAA
RNAcentral lists this ribosomal RNA (478 nucleotides) under uncultured bacterium. Its description in RNAcentral is "partial 16S ribosomal RNA". It matches the Rfam family "Bacterial small subunit ribosomal RNA", at positions 28 to 523 of the family's 1533-position model. The record is from RNAcentral.